RNAcentral lists this unclassified non-coding RNA (337 nucleotides) under soil metagenome. RNAcentral's name for it is "partial contains 5.8S ribosomal RNA, internal transcribed spacer 2, and large subunit ribosomal RNA". The stretch from base 1 to 120 matches the Rfam family "5.8S ribosomal RNA", at positions 35 to 154 of the family's 154-position model. The record is from RNAcentral.
GAUGAAGAACGUAGCGAAAUGCGAUAAGUAGUGUGAAUUGCAGAAUUCAGUGAAUCAUCGAAUCUUUGAACGCACAUUGCGCCCCAUGUUAUUCCGUGGGGCAUGCCUGUUCGAGCGUCAUUUACCCCCUCAAGCUCCGCUUGGUGUUGGGCGUCUGUCCCGCUUCGCGCGCGGACUCGCCCCAAAGGUAUUGGCAGCGGUCGUGCCAGCUUCUCGCGCAGCACAUUGCGCUUCUCGAGGCACCGGUGGGCCCGCGUCCAUCAAGCUCACCCCCCCAGUUUGACCUCGGAUCAGGUAGGGAUACCCGCUGAACUUAAGCAUAUCAAUAAGCGGAGGA